This 69-nucleotide transfer RNA is filed under the name Halichoeres hartzfeldii (Hartzfeld's wrasse). RNAcentral describes it as "tRNA-Arg". It matches the Rfam family "tRNA". From Rfam's summary of the family: Transfer RNA (tRNA) molecules are approximately 80 nucleotides in length. Their secondary structure includes four short double-helical elements and three loops (D, anti-codon, and T loops). The record is from RNAcentral. Lineage: Eukaryota; Metazoa; Chordata; Actinopteri; Labriformes; Labridae.
AGACGCUUAGUUUAAAGAAAACAUUUGAUUUCGGCUCAAAAACUUGCGGUUUGAGUCCGCAAUUGUCUA